AAUAAGUGUUUUAUGGCACUUUUUUAAGUCCAUAUCCAUCUUGUGUGCAAUGUCAGGGUUGGUCUCUCUUUUUUUAAAGACAUAUCGGCCCCAAACAUCAACCCUAUCUUUUAACUCUUUGUCUGAAAAAUAUUAUGAAUAAAACAAUUCAAAAUACAACUCUCAACAACGGAUCUCUUGGCUCU
This 185-nucleotide unclassified non-coding RNA is filed under the name rhizosphere metagenome. RNAcentral's name for it is "partial ribosomal RNA internal transcribed spacer region". The record is from RNAcentral.